GACAGAGGGGGCAAGCGUUGUCCGGAAUUACUGGGCGUACAGCGCACGCAGGUGGCUUGUUAAGUGUGGUGUGAAAGCCCCGCGCUCAACGCGGGGAGGCCUCCGCAGACUGGCAGGCUAGAGGGGUGCAGAGGGUCGUGGAAUAGCCGGUGUAGUGGUGAAAUGCGUAGAGAUCGGCAGGAACACCAAGGGCGAAGGCAGCGACCUGGGCAGACCCUGACACUCAGGUGCGACAGCGUGGGGAGCGAACCGG
RNAcentral lists this ribosomal RNA (253 nucleotides) under uncultured bacterium. Its description in RNAcentral is "partial 16S ribosomal RNA". It matches the Rfam family "Bacterial small subunit ribosomal RNA", at positions 524 to 776 of the family's 1533-position model. The record is from RNAcentral.